GUAGGUGAACCUGCGGAAGGAUCAUUAUCGAAUUACCGGCGAGGGUUGUAGCUGGCCUCUCGAGGCAUGUGCACGCCCGAGCCUUUAUAUUCCAACACACCUGUGAACCAAAUGUAGGCCUUCGGGCCUAUGUCUUUCAUCAACCCAAAUGUAUGUCUAUAGAAUGUAAUAUUAUUAUUGCCUUAAAAACGCAAACAAUACAACUUUCAACAACGGAUCUCUUGGCUCUC
This 230-nucleotide unclassified non-coding RNA is filed under the name rhizosphere metagenome. Its description in RNAcentral is "partial ribosomal RNA internal transcribed spacer region". The record is from RNAcentral.